RNAcentral lists this ribosomal RNA (468 nucleotides) under uncultured bacterium. RNAcentral describes it as "partial 16S ribosomal RNA". It matches the Rfam family "Bacterial small subunit ribosomal RNA", at positions 28 to 507 of the family's 1533-position model. The record is from RNAcentral.
GACGAACGCUGGCGGCGUGCUUAACACAUGCAAGUCGAACGGAAAGGCCCUGCUUUUGUGGGGUGCUCGAGUGGCGAACGGGUGAGUAACACGUGAGUAACCUGCCCUUGACUGUGGGAUAACUUCAGGAAACUGGGGCUAAUACCGGAUAGGAGCUCCUGCUGCAUGGUGGGGGUUGGAAAGUUUCGGCGGUUUGGGAUGGACUCGCGGCUUAUCAGCUUGUUGGUGGGGUAGUGGCUUACCAAGGCUUUGACGGGUAGCCGGCAUGAGAGGGUGAACGGCCACAUUGGGACUGAGAUACGGCCCAGACUCCUACGGGAGGCAGUGGUGGGAAAUAUUGACCAAUGGGCGGAAGCCUGAUGCAGCAACGCCGCGUGCGGGAUGACGGCCUUCGGGUUGUAAACCGCUUUCGCAUGUGACGAAGCGUGAGUGACGGUAAUGGGUAAAGAAGCACCGGCUAACUACGUG